UCCCCAGUGGCGCAACUGGUUAGCGCGCCGUACUUAUACAACAGUACCUGUGAGAGAUGCGGAGGUUGUGAGUUCGAUCCUCACCUGGGGAA
Molecule: transfer RNA, 92 nt
Filed under: Stegodyphus mimosarum
Lineage: Eukaryota; Metazoa; Arthropoda; Arachnida; Araneae; Eresidae
Description: tRNA-Ile for anticodon UAU
Rfam family: tRNA
About the family: Transfer RNA (tRNA) molecules are approximately 80 nucleotides in length. Their secondary structure includes four short double-helical elements and three loops (D, anti-codon, and T loops).
Source: Rfam by way of RNAcentral